UACAGAGGCCUCAAGCGUUAGGCGGAAUCACUGGGCUUAAAGCGUGUGUAGGCGGAUGCCUAAGUACCUUGUGAAAUCCCACGGCUCACCCGUGGAACGGCUGGGUAUACUGGGUGUCUUGGGCCAUUUAGGGGCAACUGGAACAAGCGGUGGAGCGGUGAAAUGCGUAGAUAUCGCUUGGAACGCCGAAGGUGAAAACAGGUUGCUGGGAAUGUGCCGACGCUGAGACACGAAAGCCAGGGGAGCGAACGGG
This 253-nucleotide ribosomal RNA is filed under the name uncultured bacterium. RNAcentral's name for it is "partial 16S ribosomal RNA". It matches the Rfam family "Bacterial small subunit ribosomal RNA", at positions 524 to 776 of the family's 1533-position model. The record is from RNAcentral.